RNAcentral lists this ribosomal RNA (501 nucleotides) under uncultured bacterium. RNAcentral describes it as "partial 16S ribosomal RNA". It matches the Rfam family "Bacterial small subunit ribosomal RNA", at positions 28 to 523 of the family's 1533-position model. The record is from RNAcentral.
GACGAACGCUGGCGGCAUGCCUAAUACAUGCAAGUCGAGCGGGGAAGGGUAGCUUGCUACAUUACCUAGCGGCGGACGGGUGAGUAAUGCUUAGGAAUCUGCCUAUUAGUGGGGGACAACAUUCCGAAAGGAAUGCUAAUACCGCAUACGCCCUACGGGGGAAAGCAGGGGAUCUUCGGACCUUGCGCUAAUAGAUGAGCCUAAGUCAGAUUAGCUAGUUGGUGGGGUAAAGGCCUACCAAGGCGACGAUCUGUAGCGGGUCUGAGAGGAUGAUCCGCCAAACUGGGACUGAGACACGGCCCAGACUCCUACGGGAGGCAGCAGUGGGGAAUAUUGGACAAUGGGCGAAAGCCUGAUCCAGCCAUGCCGCGUGUGUGAAGAAGGCCUUUUGGUUGUAAAGCACUUUAAGCGAGGAGGAGGCUACUUGGAUUAAUACUCUAGGAUAGUGGACGUUACUCGCAGAAUAAGCACCGGCUAACUCUGUGCCAGCCGCCGCAGUAA